UGUCGUGGGGGAUAACGUAGGGAAACUUACGCUAAUACCGCAUACGACCUACGGGUGAAAGCAGGGGAUCUUCGGACCUUGCGCGAUUGAAUGAGCCGAUGUCGGAUUAGCUAGUUGGCGGGGUAAAGGCCCACCAAGGCGACGAUCCGUAGCUGGUCUGAGAGGAUGAUCAGCCACACUGGAACUGAGACACGGUCCAGACUCCUACGGGAGGCAGCAGUGGGGAAUAUUGGACAAUGGGCGCAAGCCUGAUCCAGCCAUACCGCGUGGGUGAAGAAGGCCUUCGGGUUGUAAAGCCCUUUUGUUGGGAAAGAAAUCCAGCUGGCUAAUACCCGGUUGGGAUGACGGUACCCAAAGAAUAAGCACCGGCUAACUUCGUGCCAGCAGCCGCGGUAAUACGAAGGGUGCAAGCGUUACUCGGAAUUACUGGGCGUAAAGCGUGCGUAGGUGGUCGUUUAAGUCCGUUGUGAAAGCCCUGGGCUCAACCUGGGAACUGCAGUGGAUACUGGGCGACUAGAGUGUGGUAGAGGGUAGCGGAAUUCCUGGUGUAGCAGUGAAAUGCGUAGAGAUCAGGAGGAACAUCCAUGGCGAAGGCAGCUACCUGGACCAACACUGACACUGAGGCACGA
This 629-nucleotide ribosomal RNA is filed under the name Stenotrophomonas maltophilia. RNAcentral describes it as "bacterial SSU rRNA". It matches the Rfam family "Bacterial small subunit ribosomal RNA", at positions 132 to 756 of the family's 1533-position model. Lineage: Bacteria; Pseudomonadati; Pseudomonadota; Gammaproteobacteria; Lysobacterales; Lysobacteraceae. The record is from RNAcentral.